This 503-nucleotide ribosomal RNA is filed under the name uncultured bacterium. RNAcentral's name for it is "partial 16S ribosomal RNA". It matches the Rfam family "Bacterial small subunit ribosomal RNA", at positions 30 to 523 of the family's 1533-position model. The record is from RNAcentral.
AUUGAACGCUGGCGGCAGGCUUAACACAUGCAAGUCGAGCGGGGUGAUGGUGCUUGCACUAUCACUUAGCGGCGGACGGGUGAGUAACGCUUAGGAAUCUGCCUAUUAGUGGGGGACAACACCUCGAAAGGGAUGCUAAUACCACAUACGUCCUACGGGAGAAAGCAGGGGCUCACUUGUGACCUUGCGCUAAUAGAUGAGCCUAAGUCGGAUUAGCUAGUUGGUGGGGUAAAGGCGCACCAAGGCGACGAUCUGUAGCGGGUCUGAGAGGAUGAUCCGCCACACUGGGACUGAGACACGGCCCAGACUCCUACGGGAGGCAGCAGUGGGGAAUAUUGGACAAUGGGGGGAACCCUGAUCCAGCCAUGCCGCGUGUGUGAAGAAGGCCUUAUGGUUGUAAAGCACUUUAAGCGAGGAGGAGGCUCUUUUGGUUAAUACCCAAGAUGAGUGGACGUUACUCGCAGAAUAAGCACCGGCUAACUCUGUGCCAGCCGCCGCCGUAA